RNAcentral lists this ribosomal RNA (440 nucleotides) under uncultured bacterium. RNAcentral describes it as "partial 16S ribosomal RNA". It matches the Rfam family "Bacterial small subunit ribosomal RNA", at positions 338 to 795 of the family's 1533-position model. The record is from RNAcentral.
CCUACGGGUGGCUGCAGUGAGGAAUAUUGCACAAUGGGGGAAACCCUGAUGCAGCGACGCCGCGUGAGUGAAGAAGUAAUUCGUUAUGUAAAGCUCUAUUAGCAGGGAAGAAAAUGACGGUACCUGAGUAAGAAGCCCCGGCUAACUACGUGCCAGCAGCCGCGGUCAUACGGAGGGGGCAAGCGUUAUCCGGAUUUACUGGGUGUAAAGGGAGCGUAGAUGGCAGUGCAAGUUCGGAGUGAAAGGCGGGGGGUCAACCCCCGGACUGCUCUGGAAACUGGACGGCUGGAGUGCAGGAGAGGUAAGUGGAAUUCCUGGUGUAGCGGUGAAAUGCGUAGAUAUUAGGAGGAACACCAGUGGCGAAGGCGGCUUACUGGACUGUAACUGACGUUGAGGCACGAAAGCGUGGGGAGCAAACAGGAUUAGAUACCCGAGUAGUC